RNAcentral lists this ribosomal RNA (1197 nucleotides) under Escherichia coli. Its description in RNAcentral is "partial 23S ribosomal RNA". It matches the Rfam family "Bacterial large subunit ribosomal RNA", at positions 612 to 1794 of the family's 2925-position model. The record is from RNAcentral. Lineage: Bacteria; Pseudomonadati; Pseudomonadota; Gammaproteobacteria; Enterobacterales; Enterobacteriaceae.
AUAAUGGGUCAGCGACUUAUAUUCUGUAGCAAGGUUAACCGAAUAGGGGAGCCGAAGGGAAACCGAGUCUUAACUGGGCGUUAAGUUGCAGGGUAUAGACCCGAAACCCGGUGAUCUAGCCAUGGGCAGGUUGAAGGUUGGGUAACACUAACUGGAGGACCGAACCGACUAAUGUUGAAAAAUUAGCGGAUGACUUGUGGCUGGGGGUGAAAGGCCAAUCAAACCGGGAGAUAGCUGGUUCUCCCCGAAAGCUAUUUAGGUAGCGCCUCGUGAAUUCAUCUCCGGGGGUAGAGCACUGUUUCGGCAAGGGGGUCAUCCCGACUUACCAACCCGAUGCAAACUGCGAAUACCGGAGAAUGUUAUCACGGGAGACACACGGCGGGUGCUAACGUCCGUCGUGAAGAGGGAAACAACCCAGACCGCCAGCUAAGGUCCCAAAGUCAUGGUUAAGUGGGAAACGAUGUGGGAAGGCCCAGACAGCCAGGAUGUUGGCUUAGAAGCAGCCAUCAUUUAAAGAAAGCGUAAUAGCUCACUGGUCGAGUCGGCCUGCGCGGAAGAUGUAACGGGGCUAAACCAUGCACCGAAGCUGCGGCAGCGACGCUUAUGCGUUGUUGGGUAGGGGAGCGUUCUGUAAGCCUGUGAAGGUGUACUGUGAGGUAUGCUGGAGGUAUCAGAAGUGCGAAUGCUGACAUAAGUAACGAUAAAGCGGGUGAAAAGCCCGCUCGCCGGAAGACCAAGGGUUCCUGUCCAACGUUAAUCGGGGCAGGGUGAGUCGACCCCUAAGGCGAGGCCGAAAGGCGUAGUCGAUGGGAAACAGGUUAAUAUUCCUGUACUUGGUGUUACUGCGAAGGGGGGACGGAGAAGGCUAUGUUGGCCGGGCGACGGUUGUCCCGGUUUAAGCGUGUAGGCUGGUUUUCCAGGCAAAUCCGGAAAAUCAAGGCUGAGGCGUGAUGACGAGGCACUACGGUGCUGAAGCAACAAAUGCCCUGCUUCCAGGAAAAGCCUCUAAGCAUCAGGUAACAUCAAAUCGUACCCCAAACCGACACAGGUGGUCAGGUAGAGAAUACCAAGGCGCUUGAGAGAACUCGGGUGAAGGAACUAGGCAAAAUGGUGCCGUAACUUCGGGAGAAGGCACGCUGAUAUGUAGGUGAAGUCCCUCGCGGAUGGAGCUGAAAUCAGUCGAAGAUACCAGCUGGC